GAGCCAUUCUUCCCAAACAGGAGCUCCGCACUCUGAUUCCAUAAAAAAGAUAACUGGUUUCUCUAGAGACCUCAUCUGUGAAUGAAUCAAGCCACAUUCAAGAGGGUGUUUGGACUCUGCAGAGGGAAAUGCACCCUCUGCGCCUCCAGCACCCAGUGCUGGGAGAUAGACCCUCAGUGAUUUAGAGAGUCAAUGAAAUGGAGUGACUUUUGCAGUCCCCCAGGCUGGCUCCCAUGGAGUGUGGUGGUCUUCAGUCCCCCUCUUGUCUCACCUCGGAGUCUCCCUCACCAGCAGUAUGCAUGCAAGGACCAGAGGCAGAGCAGUUACUGCCAGGAAAGGUGGGCCAUGUAACAAGUUCUGCCUAUGAAAUAGAAAUGAAAGUGUGAUGGUUGUUUCUGGGCUGAGUUACAGAAGACUAUGUGACACCUAUAUCCUUUCUCUUCCAUUCUGCCAUUUUCUCAUUAAAGU
Molecule: long non-coding RNA, 468 nt
Organism: Manis javanica (Malayan pangolin)
Lineage: Eukaryota; Metazoa; Chordata; Mammalia; Pholidota; Manidae
Source: RefSeq, a predicted model, not a curated record